GCCCAACAAGCAAUUGAAAGAGUCAGAUGCAGAUACUAGCACCCAAACAGUGGAAAGAAGAUGGGGAUCCCUGUGGUUGAAUUGGGAAAAAGCUUGAAGAAGCUGAGGAGGAGGGUGACCCCAUGGGAAGACCAGUAGUCUCAACUGACUUGGAACCCAGAGAUCUCUCAGAUACUGAGUCACCAACCAGUCAACAUACACCCGCUGAUAUGAGGUCCCAGUCACAUAUACAGAAAGGACUGCCUGCUUUGGCCUCAGUGAGAGAAGAUGUUCCUAAUCCUCGAGAGACUUGAGAUCCCAGGGAGUGGGCAGCUUGCAGGAUCAACAUUCAAGCCUGGAGACUUGAGAGUUUACAUCCAUAAUCCCACAUAGACAUGAAAGGUGAGAAUGGACACCACAACGUUGUUCAUGCGUGCAAUGAUAGGUGUGCACACACAGAUUCAGCACAGCAGGGCUCUACACGCAGAUUGAUGUGUGCAUACAGAAAUGAUCCAUGAAUGGGCCAACCCAAUAAUAGAAGAGAGUUAGCUUGGAUUGCAACUCAUCACUUUAAAAAUAGAUGGUAAACAUCACUAUUGUAUUCUCUGCUGAUGAUAAUUCAUAUUUGUACAAUCUACUUGGUUUAAAUUCCAGCCCAAAUAUAUAAAUCUAAAGCUUUUACU
Long non-coding RNA from Mastomys coucha (southern multimammate mouse), 662 nucleotides. RefSeq lists it as uncharacterized. The transcript has 3 exons. NCBI's taxonomy places the organism in Eukaryota, Metazoa, Chordata, Mammalia, Rodentia, Muridae. The record is from RefSeq and is a predicted model, not a curated record.